Molecule: long non-coding RNA, 295 nt
Filed under: Musa acuminata (dwarf banana)
Lineage: Eukaryota; Viridiplantae; Streptophyta; Magnoliopsida; Zingiberales; Musaceae
Description: long non-coding RNA (MACU_LNC002377)
Source: RNAcentral
GGGCAGCGUCCGUCGCGUCCGCCACCGCGAUGCCGAUGUCGGCCUUCUUCAGAGCUGGUGCGUCAUUCACCCCGUCUCCUGUCAUGCCACAGAUGUGCUUCCUCUCCUGCAACCUCCUCACGAUCUCAUACUUGUGCUCUGAAACAUCAGCAUCGAGCAUGGGAUCGAGGUGAAUGCAAGCAGGUGAAGAGACCCAUCACAAACAAGGAUGCAUCGUUACCGGGGAAGACUCCAGCAAAGCCGUCAGCCUUCUCAAUUAGGUCAUCGAUGGGGAGGCCGGUGACGUCGUCGGUCU